UUUUACUACAAUGAAACUUUUGGUCAGAAGAUGAAGUUUCAAAACUCAAUUCAAGAUUGAGUUUUUGGGGCAGCCCUAAAAAUCCCUGAAGAAACCCCAAUUUGAUUUAAGAAAUUUUUUGGCUACCCACAACAAUUUGAGUAUAUUUCUUUAUUUUUGGAAGCUGACUUGGAAAACAGAGGCGGGGGGAGGGGGGAACAGUGCCAAAGGGGGAUCAUUGGAGGAAAAUUUUCAUAUCAUUUGUACAGUAUCGUGAUUUUCAUUUAUUAAAAUGUACAUCAGGGAAACAUGACAAAAACAUGGGCUGAUUUACUGGGGGCCGGGGGUAAUCCCCCUUCUCUCUAACCCCUCUUAUAAAGUUUUCAGCCCCACCAAAAUUUUGCUUCACCCCUCCUAUUUUGUCAUGUGUGAAGUCUUCAACCCUUAGACCCCUCUAAAUAGCUUGCUCAAUGGUGCCACUUGCACUCCUCUAGAAAUUUUUCCACUCCUAAUGAAAAUCCGCCCUUGGACGAAAAUUUAUGGCAAGUUCAUGGCAUGCCUAUAUAAAUAACAUAAGGUGUUCACCCCUAUAUCAGUCUAAGAUGAGGUUUAUACCCCUGCCCCUAUGUUACCAUAAGGUGUCAACCCCUAUACGAUUGUAAGAUGAGGUUUAUACCCCUGCCCCUAUAAAUAACAUAAGGCAUUCACCCCUAUAUCAGUGCAAGAUAAGGUUUAUACCCCUGCCUCUAUAUGUAACAUAAGGUGUGCACCCCUAUAUCAGUGUAAGAGAAGGUUUAUAUACCUGCCUCUAUAUGUAACAUAAGGCAUUCACCCCUAUAUCAGUGUAAGAUAAGGUUUAUACCCCUGCCCCUAUGUGUAACAUUAGGUGUCCACCCCUAUAAUCCUAUAUCAGGUAAGAUAAGGUUUUUACCCCUGCCCCUAUGACUGAAACAUAAGGUGUCCACCCCUAUAUCAGUGUAAGAUAAUAUUUAUACCCCUGCCUCUAUAUGUAACAUAAGGUGUGCACCCCUAUAUCAGUGUAAGAUAAGGUUUAUACCCUUGCCCCUAUAUGUAACAUAAGGCAUUCACCCCUAUAUCUGUGCAAGAUGAGGUUUAUACCCCUGCCCCCGGUAGAUAUCGAUUGUUUUUCAUGUUCGCUGCAUGCAUUUUGGGUCUAUUGAUUAAAAUUGAGAAUUUUGCCAGCUAACAUGAAUUAAAUUUGCUGCCUUGCUUGCUCCCUGCGGUAGCAAUAAUCGUUACACAUUGUCCAAUUUUCCCCACUAUGUAAUAAAAUAACUAGACCCCCUUCUGAACCAAUAUUUUUAGGUGGCUCCACUUUUAAGUGGCUCCACAGUCAAAACUACCUCAUGACCCACCCCCUUUUUGACAGCUCACCCUCAUAGAAAAUAAUGAAUCAUCCCUUAUUGUUGGGGGGACCUCCUCCCUCUCAAUAUCAUCUAUACAUGACCCCCCUCUGGUAACAGCAAAACUUACAUUACCCCCCCCCAUGAAAAGACCAAAAACGCUUGUGACCCCACCACAUUUUAUAUAAAAUACAGUACAAGUAUAGACUAGAGUGAAAUAGUUCUAGGAGGGGCACUUACUUUCAAGGGGGCGCUUACUUUCGAGGGGGCACUUACUUUCAAGACUUUACAGUAUAUCAGUUAAACAAUUAAAGUGACAUUAUUUAUGACAUUAGUAAUGGUGCAAAAGUUCCUGUAAUAGGGCCUUUUUCAAGGUUUAGGCACAGGGAAGCCCAAACAUUGAUCUGUGUUUUAAUUGAAUUAUUUCACUACAUUACACUAAUAUGUCACAUAAUAAUACUCCUAUAGUCAAAC
This 1817-nucleotide long non-coding RNA is filed under the name Paramuricea clavata. Lineage: Eukaryota; Metazoa; Cnidaria; Anthozoa; Malacalcyonacea; Plexauridae. The record is from RNAcentral.